This 434-nucleotide ribosomal RNA is filed under the name uncultured archaeon. RNAcentral's name for it is "bacterial SSU rRNA". It matches the Rfam family "Archaeal small subunit ribosomal RNA", at positions 19 to 458 of the family's 1478-position model. The record is from RNAcentral.
GGACCUGACUGCUAUCGGAUUGCUAUUAAGCCAUGCGAGUCAUUGUAGCAAUACAAGGCAUACGGCUCAGUAACGCGUAGUCAACCUAACCUAUGGACGGGAAUAACCUCGGGAAACUGAGAAUAAUGCCCGAUAGAACAUUAUGCCUGGAAUGGUUUAUGUUCCAAAUGAUUUAUCGCCGUAGGAUGGGACUGCGGCCUAUCAGUUUGUUGGUGAGGUAAUGGCCCACCAAGACUAUUACAGGUACGGGCUCUGAGAGGAGUAGCCCGGAGAUGGGUACUGAGACACGGACCCAGGCCCUAUGGGGCGCAGCAGGCGAGAAAACUUUGCAAUGUGCGAAAGCACGACAAGGUUAAUCCGAGUGGUUUCUGCUAAAGAAACCUUUUGUCAGUCCUAGAAACACUGAUGAAUAAGGGGUGGGCAAGUUCUGGUGU